UCGAAAGAGAUGGUGCGAUAAACACGGA
Molecule: small RNA, 28 nt
Filed under: Bombyx mori (domestic silkworm)
Lineage: Eukaryota; Metazoa; Arthropoda; Insecta; Lepidoptera; Bombycidae
Description: ovarian small RNA-28136
Source: RNAcentral